Molecule: long non-coding RNA, 294 nt
Organism: Thunnus maccoyii (southern bluefin tuna)
Lineage: Eukaryota; Metazoa; Chordata; Actinopteri; Scombriformes; Scombridae
Exons: 3
Source: RefSeq, a predicted model, not a curated record
ACCAACCCACCAGGCCAGAGAAGAGUAAACAGUUAAAGUACAGUAAAGUUACGUUUGUGCAUUCAGCAACCGUGCUUCUGUUUCUCGCUGCUGGUUGAUGAGAGAAUAACAGAUCAGAGCUUUGAGGAAGACUUCAGAUGAAGAGGAACAGCUUCUUCCCUGUGGCUGUUGGAGAGGAACUGACACCUGCUGAUACAAAACCUCAUGGACAACUUUUGAGUGUAAAGGACAAGACAGCGUGACCCAGCCAACAGGAGAUGUCAUUGCUACUGAAGGAGACACAGUUACACUUGC